GACGAACGCUGGCGGCGUGCUUAACACAUGCAAGUCGAACGGGCCUGUCUUCUUUUUUGGGGGUGGGUUGAGUGGCGAACGGGUGAGUAUCACGUGAGUAACCUGCCCUUCGGUCCUGGAUAACCGCUUGAAAGGGCGGCUAAUACGGGGUGGUCCGGUUGGUCCGCAUGGGCUGGUCGGGAUAGAUUCACUGUUUUUGGUGUUUCGGCGGGGGAUGGGCUCGCGGCCUAUCAGCUUGUUGGUGGGGUGAUGGCCUACCAAGGCGGUGACGGGUAGCCGGCCUGAGAGGGUGGGCGGCCACACUGGGACUGGGGUACGGCCCAGACUCCUGCGGGAGGCAGCAGUGGGGGGUAUUACACAAUGGGCGGAAGCCUGAUGCAGCGACGUCGCGUGAGGGAUGGAGGCCUUCGGGUUGUGAACCUCUGUUUCCGGUGGUGAAGGCCCUGUCCGUGUGGUGGGGUUGACGGUAGCCGGGGAUGAAGCGCCGGCUAACUACGUG
RNAcentral lists this ribosomal RNA (499 nucleotides) under uncultured bacterium. Its description in RNAcentral is "partial 16S ribosomal RNA". It matches the Rfam family "Bacterial small subunit ribosomal RNA", at positions 28 to 507 of the family's 1533-position model. The record is from RNAcentral.